Molecule: ribosomal RNA, 497 nt
Filed under: uncultured bacterium
Lineage: Bacteria
Description: partial 16S ribosomal RNA
Rfam family: Bacterial small subunit ribosomal RNA
Source: RNAcentral
GAUGAACGCUGGCGGCGUGCCUAAUACAUGCAAGUCGAGCGAACGGACGAGAAGCUUGCUUCUCUGAUGUUAGCGGCGGACGGGUGAGUAACACGUGGAUAACCUACCUAUAAGACUGGGAUAACUUCGGGAAACCGGAGCUAGUACCGGAUAAUAUUUUGAACCGCAUGGUUCAAAAGUGAAAGACGGUCUUGCUGUCACUUAUAGAUGGAUCCGCGCUGCAUUAGCUAGUUGGUGAGGUAACGGCUUACCAAGGCAACGAUGCAUAGCCGACCUGAGAGGGUGAUCGGCCACACUGGAACUGAGACACGGUCCAGACCCCUACGGGAGGCAGCAGUAGGGAAUCUUCCGCAAUGGGCGAAAGCCUGACGGAGCAACGCCGCGUGAGUGAUGAAGGUCUUCGGAUCGUAAAACUCUGUUAUUAGGGAAGAACAUAUGUGUAAGUAACUGUGCACAUCUUGACGGUACCUAAUCAGAAAGCCACGGCUAACUACGUG